UAGGGAAUCUUCGGCAAUGGACGGAAGUCUGACCGAGCAACGCCGCGUGAGUGAAGAAGGUUUUCGGAUCGUAAAGCUCUGUUGUUAGAGAAGAACGUUGGUAGGAGUGGAAAAUCUACCAAGUGACGGUAACUAACCAGAAAGGGACGGCUAACUACGUGCCAGCAGCCGCGGUAAUACGUAGGUCCCGAGCGUUGUCCGGAUUUAUUGGGCGUAAAGCGAGCGCAGGCGGUUCUUUAAGUCUGAAGUUAAAGGCAGUGGCUUAACCAUUGUACGCUUUGGAAACUGGAGUACUUGAGUGCAGAAGGGGAGGGUGGAAUUCCAUGUGUAGCGGUGAAAUGCGUAGAUAUAUGGAGGAACACCGGUGGCGAAAGCGGCUCUCUGGUCUGUAACUGACGCUGAGGCUCGAAAGCGUGGGGAGCAAACAGG
This 429-nucleotide ribosomal RNA is filed under the name Bacillota bacterium. Its description in RNAcentral is "Firmicutes bacterium partial 16S ribosomal RNA". It matches the Rfam family "Bacterial small subunit ribosomal RNA", at positions 355 to 776 of the family's 1533-position model. Lineage: Bacteria; Bacillati; Bacillota. The record is from RNAcentral.